AACGAACGCUGGCGGCAGGCCUAACACAUGCAAGUCGAACGCUCCGCAAGGGGAGUGGCGCACGGGUGAGUAACACGUGGGAACCUACCUUCUGGUACGGAACAACCAAGGGAAACUUUGGCUAAGACCGUAUACGACCUCCGGGUGAAAGAUUGAUCGCCGGAAGAGGGGCCCGCGUCCGAUUAGGUAGUUGGUGAGGUGACGGCUCACCAAGCCUUCGAUCGGUAGCUGGUCUGAGAGGAUGACCAGCCACACUGGGACUGAGACACGGCCCAGACUCCUACGGGAGGCAGCAGUGGGGAAUAUUGGACAAUGGGCGCAAGCCUGAUCCAGCCAUGCCGCGUGAGUGAUGAAGGCCU
Molecule: ribosomal RNA, 359 nt
Filed under: uncultured bacterium
Lineage: Bacteria
Description: bacterial SSU rRNA
Rfam family: Bacterial small subunit ribosomal RNA
Source: RNAcentral